CCUACGGGAGACAGCAGUGGGGGAUAUUGCACAAUGGGGGAAACCCUGAUGCAGCGACGCCGCGUGGGCGAAGAAGUAUUUCGGUAUGUAAAGCCCUAUCAGCAGGGAAGAAGAAAUGACGGUACCUGAGUAAGAAGCACCGGCUAAAUACGUGCCAGCAGCCGCGGUAAUACGUAUGGUGCAAGCGUUAUCCGGAUUUACUGUGGGUAAAGGGAGCGCAGGCGGCACGGCAAGCCUGAUGUGAAAGCCCGCGGCCCAACCGCGGGACUGCCUUGGAAACUACCGGGCUGGAGUGCCGGAGGGGUAGGCGGAAUUCCUAGUGUAGCGGUGAAAUGCGUAGAUAUUAGGAGGAACACCAGUGGCGAAGGCGGCCUACUGGACGGUGACUGACGCUGAGGCUCGAAAGCGUGGGGAGCAAACAGGAUUAGAUACCCUAGUAGUC
This 442-nucleotide ribosomal RNA is filed under the name uncultured bacterium. RNAcentral's name for it is "partial 16S ribosomal RNA". It matches the Rfam family "Bacterial small subunit ribosomal RNA", at positions 338 to 795 of the family's 1533-position model. The record is from RNAcentral.